UGAGGAAUAUUGGUCAAUGGGCGAGAGCCUGAACCAGCCAAGUAGCGUGCAGGAUGACGGCCCUAUGGGUUGUAAACUGCUUUUAUGUGGGGAUAAAGUGCGUGACGUGUCAUGCAUUGCAGGUACCACAUGAAUAAGGACCGGCUAAUUCCGUGCCAGCAGCCGCGGUAAUACGGAAGGUCCGGGCGUUAUCCGGAUUUAUUGGGUUUAAAGGGAGCGUAGGCUGUCUAUUAAGCGUGUUGUGAAAUUUACCGGCUCAACCGGUGGCUUGCAGCGCGAACUAGUCGACUUGAGUAUGCAGGAAGUAGGCGGAAUUCAUGGUGUAGCGGUGAAAUGCUUAGAUAUCAUGACGAACUCCGAUUGCGCAGGCAGCUUACUGUAGCAUAACUGACGCUGAUGCUCGAAAGUGCGGGUAUCAAACAGG
This 424-nucleotide ribosomal RNA is filed under the name Fusobacteriota bacterium. Its description in RNAcentral is "Fusobacteria bacterium partial 16S ribosomal RNA". It matches the Rfam family "Bacterial small subunit ribosomal RNA", at positions 355 to 776 of the family's 1533-position model. The record is from RNAcentral. Lineage: Bacteria; Fusobacteriati; Fusobacteriota.